GGGGAUUUAGCUCAGUGGUAGAGUGCUUGCCUAGGAAGCGCAAGGCCCUGGGUUCGAUCCCCGGCUCCG
This 69-nucleotide transfer RNA is filed under the name Rattus norvegicus (Norway rat). It matches the Rfam family "tRNA". Rfam says of the family: Transfer RNA (tRNA) molecules are approximately 80 nucleotides in length. Their secondary structure includes four short double-helical elements and three loops (D, anti-codon, and T loops). Further hydrogen bonds mediate the characteristic L-shaped molecular structure. tRNAs have two regions of fundamental functional importance: the anti-codon, which is responsible for specific mRNA codon recognition, and the 3' end, to which the tRNAs corresponding amino acid is attached (by aminoacyl-tRNA synthetases). tRNAs cope with the degeneracy of the genetic code in two manners: having more than one tRNA (with a specific anti-codon) for a particular amino acid; and 'wobble' base-pairing, i.e. permitting non-standard base-pairing at the 3rd anti-codon position. The record is from Rfam by way of RNAcentral. Lineage: Eukaryota; Metazoa; Chordata; Mammalia; Rodentia; Muridae.